RNAcentral lists this long non-coding RNA (229 nucleotides) under Homo sapiens (human). Its description in RNAcentral is "HSALNT0151667". The record is from RNAcentral. Lineage: Eukaryota; Metazoa; Chordata; Mammalia; Primates; Hominidae.
GAGAAGGCGCUGUCUCUGAGGAAGGAGCCUUCACCUGGCCAGACAACACGUCUUCUGGUGCCUUGAUCUUGGACUUCCCAGCCUGUAGAACUUUCCACUCUCUGCUGAGAGCCACUCUCAUCACUCAAUAAAAUUUCCACAUUCAUCAUCCUUCAAUUUGUUCAUGUGACCGCAUUCUUCUUGGAACUGGACAAGAAUUCAAGACCUACCAAAUGUGGGUACCAAAAAG